Molecule: transfer RNA, 70 nt
Filed under: Ignavibacteria bacterium
Lineage: Bacteria; Pseudomonadati; Ignavibacteriota; Ignavibacteria
Description: tRNA-Cys
Rfam family: tRNA
About the family: Transfer RNA (tRNA) molecules are approximately 80 nucleotides in length. Their secondary structure includes four short double-helical elements and three loops (D, anti-codon, and T loops). Further hydrogen bonds mediate the characteristic L-shaped molecular structure. tRNAs have two regions of fundamental functional importance: the anti-codon, which is responsible for specific mRNA codon recognition, and the 3' end, to which the tRNAs corresponding amino acid is attached (by aminoacyl-tRNA synthetases). tRNAs cope with the degeneracy of the genetic code in two manners: having more than one tRNA (with a specific anti-codon) for a particular amino acid; and 'wobble' base-pairing, i.e. permitting non-standard base-pairing at the 3rd anti-codon position.
Source: RNAcentral
GACGCUGAUGCCGAAUGGAUGGCAGGCGCCCGCAAGGCGCCUCGUGGAGGUUCGAGUCCUCCCGGCGUCU